GAUGAAUAACGCAGCGAAAUGCGAUAAGUAAUGUGAAUUGCAGAAUUCAGUGAAUCAUCGAAUCUUUGAACGCACAUUGCGCCCCCUGGUAUUCCGGGGGGCAUGCCUGUUCGAGCGUCAUUUCACCACUCAAGCCUCGCUUGGUAUUGGGCAACGCGGUCCGCCGCGUGCCUCAAAUCGACCGGCUGGGUCUUCUGUCCCCUAAGCGUUGUGGAAACUUUCGCUAAAGGGUGUUCGGGAGGCUACGCCGUAAAACAACCCCAUUUCUAAGGUUGACCUCGGAUCAGGUAGGGAUACCCGCUGAACUUAAGCAUAUCAAUAAGCGGAGGA
RNAcentral lists this unclassified non-coding RNA (330 nucleotides) under soil metagenome. RNAcentral describes it as "partial contains 5.8S ribosomal RNA, internal transcribed spacer 2, and large subunit ribosomal RNA". The stretch from base 1 to 120 matches the Rfam family "5.8S ribosomal RNA", at positions 35 to 154 of the family's 154-position model. The record is from RNAcentral.